Canis lupus familiaris (dog) is the source of this 924-nucleotide long non-coding RNA. RefSeq lists it as uncharacterized. The record is from RefSeq and is a predicted model, not a curated record. The transcript has 3 exons. NCBI's taxonomy places the organism in Eukaryota, Metazoa, Chordata, Mammalia, Carnivora, Canidae.
GAAGCAGCUUUCUCUGAGCACCCAGCCUGGGUUAGCUCCGCAGGCACCAUCCCAUCACUUCGCCUUGCUUUCUGUUCUGCUCUCUGCUCGCUUCCUGCGUGUGCGCUGCCCCCUUCACUAAAGCCCCACUUGGUGGCAGAGGCAGCGUCCGUCUGGCUCCCGCUGGAUCCCCAGAGCCGAAAACAGCGCUGCCCACAGCAGCUCUUUGGAGAAGGAAGAGCGCCCUCUGAAGCUGCUUCCUCACCUGUGAAAUGGGGACGCGGCUACUGUGCAGGCCCGGAGGAGUGUCCCAGGGCCCAGGGUUUGGAAGGAGCCUCAAGAAGCAUCCCAUCCAGCCUUCCAUCUACAGAAUCUUCUUGAACUCUCCCAGGCAUGCCACCAUUUAAGAAGAAAGAAGUCCAGGCUACCUUGCUGAAGAGCCUGCAUGGAGGAGAACUGAGGCACCGCAGCUGACAGCCAGCACCAAAUGCCAGCCAUGCCAAGAAGCCCUCUUGGAAGAGAUCCUCCAGCCCCAGUCAACACUUCAGAGGGUGUAGCCCAACCAAUACAACUGCCAGCCACAAGAGAUCCCCAGGCCAGAACCAGCUAAGCUGCUCCUGGAUUCCUGCCCCUCAGAAACUGUGAUAUAAUAUAGGUGUCCUUCGCUUUAUUGAGCUUUGCUUUAUUUUAGUUUGUCGAUACUCUAUUCUUUUUAUGAAUUGAAGGAUUGUGGCAACCCUGCAUCAAGCAAGUCUAUCAAUGCCAUUUUUUUCAACAGCAUUUGCUCACUUCAUGUCUGUGGCACAUUUUGGUAAUUCUUACAAGAUUCCAAAUCUUUUUGUUAUUAUUAUAUUUCUUAGCGUGGUCUGUGAUCAGUGAGUGUGACCUGCUGAAAGCUCAGAUGAUCAUUGGCAUUUUUUAACAAUAAAGUAUUUUUAAUAAGGA